Molecule: ribosomal RNA, 465 nt
Filed under: Klebsiella pneumoniae
Lineage: Bacteria; Pseudomonadati; Pseudomonadota; Gammaproteobacteria; Enterobacterales; Enterobacteriaceae
Description: partial 23S ribosomal RNA
Rfam family: Bacterial large subunit ribosomal RNA
Source: RNAcentral
UGGUGGGUAGUUUGACUGGGGCGGUCUCCUCCCAAAGCGUAACGGAGGAGCACGAAGGUUAGCUAAUCCUGGUCGGACAUCAGGAGGUUAGUGCAAUGGCAUAAGCUAGCUUGACUGCGAGCGUGACGGCGCGAGCAGGUGCGAAAGCAGGUCAUAGUGAUCCGGUGGUUCUGAAUGGAAGGGCCAUCGCUCAACGGAUAAAAGGUACUCCGGGGAUAACAGGCUGAUACCGCCCAAGAGUUCAUAUCGACGGCGGUGUUUGGCACCUCGAUGUCGGCUCAUCACAUCCUGGGGCUGAAGUAGGUCCCAAGGGUAUGGCUGUUCGCCAUUUAAAGUGGUACGCGAGCUGGGUUUAGAACGUCGUGAGACAGUUCGGUCCCUAUCUGCCGUGGGCGCUGGAGAAUUGAGGGGGGCUGCUCCUAGUACGAGAGGACCGGAGUGGACGCAUCACUGGUGUUCGGGUUG